RNAcentral lists this long non-coding RNA (988 nucleotides) under Felis catus (domestic cat). RNAcentral describes it as "lncRNA (ENSFCAG00000042648.2)". The record is from RNAcentral. Lineage: Eukaryota; Metazoa; Chordata; Mammalia; Carnivora; Felidae.
GGCCCGCGGGCGCAGCGGGCGCCGGGCCUGCCGCGGGCUGCGCGCUCCGGGGCCCCGGGCCGAGCGGCGGGCCCGCGCCCGCCGCACUCCUCGUUCCCAGUCAUUUUCUAAUGAAAAAGCCUUGGCUUCUUUGAAAAUCCAAAGGGCGCCGGACGCUAGCGGAGAAGAGCCCCAACAAGACGGCGAAUGCAGAAAGUAAAAGGCCGGCGUCCCUCCAACCCGUCCUUCGCAAAUCUCUCCAGAGAGAUCCAGCCUUUACAGAUCGGAAGCUUCUUGUACAUGGCAGGGCUACAUACCUGGUUCUGGCUGGUGAAAUAUGAGCAAAGGUGACAUGUGACACUUUGGGGUGAGGCAGUGACAAACCCAAGCGUGGUUCUCUGCGUUCUCUUCCCUUGCUUUGGUGAUCGUGGGAGCAUGAGGCAUCACGGGAUGAAGGCAAGCCUAUUGCUGAGCCACACGUGGAGGACAACUGUCUCCAACACUCACCCAGAUACACAGCUGAGUUCAGCUGGAGACUCUCGGCCGAUGGGCUCGGAAAAGCUGCCUUAGCAACCAGGAUUUUCACGCCUUUGCCCUUAAAAUGCCUUUGAUCGCUGUCCCAAAAGUUCUACUUUCCCAGAUGAGGAGCCAGGAAUCUGGAUUCACAGAUGUGCCCUUAUGGACAGUCCCUCCAAACAAAAAGGGCAAAGACUUCAGACUUGGCUGGCCUGGGGUCAAGUUCCAGCUCUCUGCCUGCGUGUCUCUGGGAAAAUUACUUAAGCUCAUGUGCCCCAUUUUCUUAUCUGAAGAAAGAGUAUAAUAAAAUAUACUUCUGAUGCCUGUUGCACGGAUUCAGUGUGUGGAUAUGCACAGAACACUUGGCCCAGGCUUUCGGACAUAGUAACUGCUCAGUAAGCAGUGAUGGCGAUCGUCAUAACUGUUGUUGUUGACGUCAAGGCCGUUUGCCUCUAUUAUAGGGGCAGCUGAUUGUGCUGCCUGUGUAAGUCUG